This 76-nucleotide transfer RNA is filed under the name Rhodospirillaceae bacterium. RNAcentral's name for it is "tRNA-Lys". It matches the Rfam family "tRNA". Rfam says of the family: Transfer RNA (tRNA) molecules are approximately 80 nucleotides in length. Their secondary structure includes four short double-helical elements and three loops (D, anti-codon, and T loops). Lineage: Bacteria; Pseudomonadati; Pseudomonadota; Alphaproteobacteria; Rhodospirillales; Rhodospirillaceae. RNAcentral also lists the same sequence under 4 other names. The record is from RNAcentral.
GCGCGCUUAGCUCAGUUGGUAGAGCAACUGACUUUUAAUCAGUAGGUCACAGGUUCGACCCCUGUAGCGCGUACCA